GACUCUGGAGUUUCUGAUGCGCCAUCUUGUCAAAAUGGCCUCAUAUUGCUCAGAGACCAACAUGCACUGCAGGAACUUGGCAAUCGUCUGGGCCCCCAAUCUGCUAAGGUUUGCUCAUGUUGUAUAUACGUAAUAAUACAUAAGCUGUUUAUAUUGAGCCACAGUCUGUCCUGCUGGAAAAUAUACACAAGAUGUUUGUUUUACAUCAUUAAAAUGUAAUGAAUCAAGAUAAUUAGAUAAUUAUAAGAUGAAUUUCUUCUUAAUUUUCCACUUUAAAUGUUUCCCCUCCACCUUCCCUCCUUCCUUCUUCAUCUUCUCCAGCAUUCAUUCAUCCUUUCAUCCCUUCCUUCCUAACAAUCAAUCAAUCAAUUAAUCAAUUAAUGUGUAUGUUAAGGUCAAAGGACAUUGAGACAUCUGGAUUUAACGGUACAGCGGCCUUCAUGGAGGUCAGGGUUCAGUCCAUCGUCGUGGAGUUCAUCCUCACACACGUCCCUCAGCUGUUUCCUGACCAAGGUGGAUCCGGUGAGAGAAGGAAGUCCCUCCCCUCCCCGUCAGCCAUACCCAAUCACAGUCAGGAGGAAGGGUUUCAGCAUGUCCCGCACUUUGGUAGCAUCUGUCCAGGAGACGGUCCUCAACCCAUAAUACCUUACCACGCUAUCAUUGAAGGCACUGACAAGUAAGUCGACUCAUUGAUGUAUUAUGGCGGAUCUGGUUGACGGUUUUUAAUGCAGAGGUCAAAGGUCAACAAUUAUCAGCAGGUUCAUCGUAAAUAAACAGAUUUAUGAAAGUGGCAUUUACCAAACAGAGAACCUCAUGUUAGGCGUGACUUAAGUGUUCAAUAUUCGUGGUGGAAUAAUGUUUGCAUGAUUGACUUCAUUGAAUCUCGUUCAGGAGGAAAGGAUCUCUGAAAGGCAGGAGGUGGAUGUCCAUCUUCAACAUCGGAGGACGAUUUCCCGACCCACGACGGAGACACAAACACUCAACCAAAGGUAACGAUGAAGCUCUUAUUUAACUUUACACAUGUGUGCAGGGGAAAGGGACACAGAAGGUUAAAACUUCCUGUGUACUUUGUUUCUCGCCCCGCUUUCAUAUAUUUUGUCUUCAACAAUCGGUUCUUUGUUUCAGAGAAAGAGAGUCCUACUCUGAGACCAGCAAGAAGCAUGGACUCGCUCAGCAUCUCGCCCGGGCCGAGUGAAGGCUCCGUACGCUCGGCCCAGCGCCUUCCUUCCACCAGCGUGUCUCCCCUCGUCACUCCGUCCCCCCACUCUGGCGCCGAGCUCACGGCGUCCGCCGGUGCGAUAGGUGGAAGUGAAUAUGCUGUAACCUACCGCAGGGGAACGGGGUUAGUAAGCGGGGGUGCGGGGACGCAGGGCACCUACACUUCCCUUGACCCCGAAGGAGUCACAGGCAGCGAGACGCUACAGUCCAGAUCCCCGGGACUCACAACUAAAGUAGGCCGAAGAGCAGCCAUGCACAUCACGGGGCCCACCAUGGUGACUGUGCCCCUGCACAUCACCUCUAACCUGGCAUUAGGGGUGCUGCAAGGGGGUGGAGGCGACAGGCUCAUCCACCGCAGGGAUAAGGAUGGAGGGGACAGGGUGGAAGCUAAGGAAGGGGGAGAGAAGGUGGAGAGGAGGGAGAGCCGGGUCAUGGACAGGAAAGUGGAAGCAAGCAAAAAGGUUGAGGCGAAGGAGGAGAGAAAGCACAGUGGGAAUGUGGCAGACGGGGGGGAAGUUGUGGAUGCAGAAGUGAAUACGGUGGCAGGUGGUUGCGUGGAGGAAGAAGGCGAAGGAAAGAAAGAGGAGGAAGAGGAGGAGGUCAGAGAAGUGUGUAGAUGGAAGCUGGUGGUGGCGCGUCGAGCUGCGUCCACGGAGCAACGAGACAAAAGCCUGACAUCAGACGCUGAGGAAGAUAAUGCCGACGAUGAUGAAUACAUGGGUAACUCCUUCUGUUUCAUAACCAUAAGAGUUUAUUUAGUUUACACCACUUUAAUAAAUAAUG
This is a long non-coding RNA of Cottoperca gobio, 2001 nucleotides long. The record is from Ensembl. Lineage: Eukaryota; Metazoa; Chordata; Actinopteri; Perciformes; Bovichtidae.